CCGCUGCGGGGCCUGAAAGAGCAAAAUAAAAACAUACACUGGCCAGCAGCAGAACCGCUAUCUCAAAUUAAAAUUUCAUCUCCGGCUCCAAGAAGUAUAUAAGUCUGUAAAAUAUAUAUAUUUAUGAUUUAUUGGACAUACGGAGCUGGUUGAGGGCCGUUAAUCAUAUGCCAUAUAUAUACCCGCCAUAUAUAGAGCCAUAUAGUUGAAAUAUGAAUGCCAUAAAAAGGAUGCAAGACGUAUGGGAGAGUGGAAAAAACACGGAGUGAUGUGAGAGCUUGUCUUUGAUUGCAGGGAGGGGAGGAGAGGAGGGAGGGAGGGAGGAGAGGAGAGGAGAGGAGUUGGCAGUGAAUCUCUUUGUCUCUCCUCUUAGCUUUUUUCCCCUCUCCCGCCCUCUCUCCCAAGCGGGUCGGGGCUGCCCUUGCAGCUUUUUGUUGUGCAUCUUCUGCCCUCGCCGCCGAUCGUCCCCUGUGCUGCUUCGGCUGCUCAACAGAUGGCCAGUUGGCUCAUUAACUUUAAUAAAUCUAACAUCAAUUAGACUGGAGGUAAUUGGGAUGCCGCGGAGGUGAUUGCAAGAACAGAUUGUCUCGGGUGGAUCAAGCUGCUUUCGGCUCUGCAGGUUUCGAGAGUGAACUGGAGAAACAGAAUCAUCUCUUCAUGUCGACAGGAUUGGUCUGUCUGCUGAACAAAGCACAUCUGCCGGGCUGCUGUGGUGAGAGCAAGAGAGCCGGAGAGUCUCACAAGAAAAAAAAAAGAAAAGAAAAAGCACCAUGACUGCCUCAGAGGCUUUAACAGGAACGUAAAGAGACACAGAGCAUUAUAUAGAAGUUGCAGACACAACUGCAUCAAUGUGAAAGUUUUGUGAUGAUUAUAAGAGCGACUCUGUCUCCUAGAGAUUACGUUCAUGCAUGAAUAAAUUGCAGCAGCAUGUAA
Long non-coding RNA from Thunnus maccoyii (southern bluefin tuna), 933 nucleotides. RefSeq lists it as uncharacterized. The transcript is spliced from 2 exons. NCBI's taxonomy places the organism in Eukaryota, Metazoa, Chordata, Actinopteri, Scombriformes, Scombridae. The record is from RefSeq and is a predicted model, not a curated record.